This 464-nucleotide ribosomal RNA is filed under the name Vreelandella stevensii. RNAcentral describes it as "partial 16S ribosomal RNA". It matches the Rfam family "Bacterial small subunit ribosomal RNA", at positions 338 to 795 of the family's 1533-position model. The record is from RNAcentral. Lineage: Bacteria; Pseudomonadati; Pseudomonadota; Gammaproteobacteria; Oceanospirillales; Halomonadaceae.
CCUACGGGGGGCAGCAGUGGGGAAUAUUGGACAAUGGGGGCAACCCUGAUCCAGCCAUGCCGCGUGUGUGAAGAAGGCCCUCGGGUUGUAAAGCACUUUCAGUGAGGAAGAACGCCUGGUGGUUAAUACCCAUCAGGAAAGACAUCACUCACAGAAGAAGCACCGGCUAACUCCGUGCCAGCGCCGCGGUAAUACGGAGGGUGCGAGCGUUAAUCGGAAUUACUGGGCGUAAAGCGCGCGUAGGUGGCUUGAUAAGCCGGUUGUGAAAGCCCCGGGCUCAACCUGGGAACGGCAUCCGGAACUGUCAAGCUAGAGUGCAGGAGAGGAAGGUAGAAUUCCCGGUGUAGCGGUGAAAUGCGUAGAGAUCGGGAGGAAUACCAGUGGCGAAGGCGGCCUUCUGGACUGACACUGACACUGAGGUGCGAAAGCGUGGGUAGCAAACAGGAUUAGAUACCCUAGUAGUC